Molecule: long non-coding RNA, 285 nt
Filed under: Vigna radiata
Lineage: Eukaryota; Viridiplantae; Streptophyta; Magnoliopsida; Fabales; Fabaceae
Description: long non-coding RNA (VRAD_LNC009014)
Source: RNAcentral
UGGUGCAUAAUUGAUUGAAUAUGAGCAAAGCGUUUUCUUAAUUCGCUUUUAUGAAAACAUGGUUAGUCUUCGCUUAAUUGGUUAGCUUGUGUUGGAAUAGGGGUUAGAGGACUGAGUAAUUGUUGUUAAUCUGUAAUCGGAACAAUGUAAUUGAGCAGGUGAUCAACCGUUUUCCAUUAAUGUUUGAAUUCAUGCUUUAGUUUGGUAGAUUUUAGUUCACAAAAUUGUUCAUAAACCACCUCCCACCAUGUACUCAAUCUAAUUCUUGAACCACAUUUAGCCCUU